AGCGAACGCUGGCGGCAGGCUUAACACAUGCAAAUCGAACGCAUCCUUCGGGGUGAGUGGCAGACGGGUGAGUAACACGUGGGAACAUACCUUUUGGUUCGGAAUAACUCAUGGAAACGUGAGCUAAUACCGGAUACGCCCUUUUGGGGAAAGAGUUAUUGCCGAAAGAUUGGCCCGCGUCUGAUUAGCUAGUUGGUGAGGUAAUGGCUCACCAAGGCGACGAUCAGUAGCUGGUCUGAGAGGAUGGUCAGCCACACUGGGACUGAGACACGGCCCAGACUCCUACGGGAGGCAGCAGUGGGGAAUAUUGGACAAUGGGCGCAAGCCUGAUCCAGCCAUGCCGCGUGAGUGAUGAAGGCCUUAGGGUUGUAAAGCUCUUUUAUCCGGGAAGAUAAUGACUGUACCGGAAGAAUAAGCCCCGGCUAACUUCGUGCCAGCCGCCGCAGUAA
Molecule: ribosomal RNA, 449 nt
Filed under: uncultured bacterium
Lineage: Bacteria
Description: partial 16S ribosomal RNA
Rfam family: Bacterial small subunit ribosomal RNA
Source: RNAcentral